CACGCCCCCCACCAAGGCUAUAGCCCACCCGUUUUUUGGCCAUUUUUCCGCUGGGGGGUCUUGGCGCCCCGACCUUCGGGGGCUGAUUUUUGGGCGCGGCUGUGCCCGUGGCCUAUUUUUGGCACACGGAGGCCGCCCGCAAAGUCUGGGGCCAUUCCGAGUCCGGCGGACGAACUUCGCCCACCACCCCCACCAAGGCUAUAGCCCACCCGUUUUUUGGCCAUUUAUCCGCUGGGGGGUCUUGGCGCCCCGACCUUCGGGGGCUGAAUUUUGGGCGCGGGUGUGCCCGUGGCCUAUUUUUGGCACACGGAGGCCGCCCGCAAAGUCUGGGGCCAUUCCGAGUCCGGCGGACGAACUUCGCCCACGCCCCCCACCAAGGCUAUAGCCCACCCGUUUUUUGGCCAUUUUUCCGCUGGGGGGUCUUGGCGCCCCGACCUUCGGGGGCUGAUUUUUGGGCGCGGGUGUGCCCGUGGCCUAUUUUUGGCACACGGAGGCCGCCCGCAAAGUCUGGGGCCAUUCCGAGUCCGGCGGACGAACUUCGCCCACGCCCCCCACCAAGGCUAUAGCCCACCCGUUUUUUGGCCAUUUUUCCGCUGGGGGGUCUUGGCUCCCCGACCUUCGGGGGCUGAUUUUUGGGCGCGGGUGUGCCCGUGGCCUAUUUUUGGCACACGGAGGCCGCCCGCAAAGUCUGGGGCCAUUCCGAGUCCGGCGGACGAACUUCGCCCACGCCCCCCACCAAGGCUAUAGCCCACCCGUUUUUUGGCCAUUUUUCCGCUGGGGGGUCUUGGCGCCCCGACCUUCGGGGGCUGAAUUUUGGGCGCGGGUGUGCCCGUGGCCUAUUUUUUGCACACGGAGGCCGCCCGCAAAGUCUGGGGCCAUUCCGAGUCCGGCGGACGAACUUCGCCCACGCCCCCCACCAAGGCUAUAGCCCACCCGUUUUUUGGCCAUUUUUCCGCUGGGGGGUCUUGGCGCCCCGACCUUCGGGGGCUGAAUUUUGGGCGCGGGUGUGCCCGUGGCCUAUUUUUGGCACACGGAGGCCGCCCGCAAAGUCUGGGGCCAUUCCGAGUCCGGCGGACGAACUUCGCCCACGCCCCCCACCAAGGCUAUAGCCCACCCGUUUUUUGGCCAUUUUUCCGCUGGGGGGUCUUGGCGCCCCGACCUUCAGGGGCUGAUUUUUGGGCGCGGGUGUGCCCGUGGCCUAUUUUUGGCAAACGGAGGCCGCCCGCAGAGUCUGGGGCCAUUCCGAGUCCGGCGGACGAGCUUCGCCCACGCCCCCCACCAAGGCUAUAGCCCACCCGUUUUUUGGCCAUUUUUCCGCUGGGGGGUCUUGGCGCCCCGACCUUCGGGGGCUGAUUUUUGGGCGCGGGUGUGCCCGUGGCCUAUUUUUGGCACACGGAGGCCGCCCGCAAAGUCUGGGGCCAUUCCGAGUCCGGCGGACGAACUUCGCCCACGCCCCCCACCAAGGCUAUAGCCCACCCGUUUUUUGGCCAUUUUUCCGCUGGGGGGUCUUGGCGCCCCGACCUUCGGGGGCUGAUUUUUGGGCGCGGGUGUGCCCGUGGCCUAUUUUUGGCAUACGGAGGCCGCCCGCAAAGUCUGGGGCCAUUCCGAGUCCGGCGGACGAACUUCGCCCACGCCCCCCACCAAGGCUAUAGCCCACCCGUUUUUUGGCCAUUUUUCCGCUGGGGGGUCUUGGCUCCCCGACCUUCGGGGGCUGAUUUUUGGGCGCGGGUGUGCCCGUGGCCUAUUUUUGGCACACGGAGGCCGCCCGCAAAGUCUGGGGCCAUUCCGAGUCCGGCGGACGAACUUCGCCCACGCCCCCCACCAAGGCUAUAGCCCACCCGUUUUUUGGCCAUUUUUCCGCUGGGGGGUCUUGGCGCCCCGACCUUCGGGGGCUGAAUUUUGGGCGCGGGUGUGCCCGUGGCCUAUUUUUGGCACACGGAGGCCGCCCGCAAAGUCUGGGGCCAUUCCGAGUCCGGCGGACGAACUUCGCCCACGCCCCCCACCAAGGCUAUAGCCCACCCGUUUUUUGGCCAUUUUUCCGCUGGGGGGACUUGGCUCCCCGACCUUCGGGGGCUGAUUUUUGGGCGCGGGUGUGCCCGUGGCCUAUUUUUGGCACACGGAGGCCGCCCGCAAAGUCUGGGGCCAUUCCGAGUCCGGCGGACGAACUUCGCCCACGCCCCCCACCAAGGCUAUAGCCCACCCGUUUUUUGGCCAUUUUUCCGCUGGGGGGUCUUGGCGCCCCGACCUUCGGGGGCUGAAUUUUGGGCGCGGGUGUGCCCGUGGCCUAUUUUUGGCACACGGAGGCCGCCCGCAAAGUCUGGGGCCAUUCCGAGUCCGGCGGACGAACUUCGCCCACGCCCCCCACCAAGGCUAUAGCCCACCCGUUUUUUGGCCAUUUUUCCGCUGGGGGGUCUUGGCGCCCCGACCUUCGGGGGCUGAAUUUUGGGCGCGGGUGUGCCCGUGGCCUAUUUUUGGCACACGGAGGCCGCCCGCAAAGUCUGGGGCCAUUCCGAGUCCGGCGGACGAACUUCGCCCACGCCCCCCACCAAGGCUAUAGCCCACCCGUUUUUUGGCCAUUUUUCCGCUGGGGGGUCUUGGCGCCCCGACCUUCGGGGGCUGAAUUUUGGGCGCGGGUGUGUCCGUGGCCUAUUUUUGGCACACGGAGGCCGCCCGCAAAGUCUGGGGCCAUUCCGAGUCCGGCGGACGAACUUCGCCCACGCCCCCCACCAAGGCUAUAGC
Molecule: long non-coding RNA, 2739 nt
Filed under: Citrus x clementina
Lineage: Eukaryota; Viridiplantae; Streptophyta; Magnoliopsida; Sapindales; Rutaceae
Description: Citrus clementina (C. clementina) long non-coding RNA (CCLE_LNC004797)
Source: RNAcentral